This 478-nucleotide ribosomal RNA is filed under the name uncultured bacterium. Its description in RNAcentral is "partial 16S ribosomal RNA". It matches the Rfam family "Bacterial small subunit ribosomal RNA", at positions 28 to 523 of the family's 1533-position model. The record is from RNAcentral.
GACGAACGCUGGCGGCGUGCUUAACACAUGCAAGUCGAACGGUAAGGCCCUUCGGGGUACACGAGUGGCGAACGGGUGAGUAACACGUGGGUGAUCUGCCCUGCACUUCGGGAUAAGCCUGGGAAACUGGGUCUAAUACCAGAUAGGACCACUGCCUGCAUGGGUGGUGGUGGAAAGCUUUUGCGGUGUGGGAUGGGCCCGUGGCCUAUCAGCUUGUUGGUGGGGUGAUGGCCUACCAAGGCGACGACGGGUAGCCGGCCUGAGAGGGUGACCGGCCACACUGGGACUGAGAUACGGCACAGACUCCUACGGGAGGCAGCAGUGGGGAAUAUUGCACAAUGGGCGCAAGCCUGAUGCAGCGACGCCGCGUGAGGGAUGACGGCCUUCGGGUUGUAAACCUCUUUCAGCACCGACGAAGCGCAAGUGACGGUAGGUGCAGAAGAAGGACCGGCCAACUACGUGCCAGCCGCCGCGGUAA